RNAcentral lists this ribosomal RNA (497 nucleotides) under uncultured bacterium. RNAcentral's name for it is "partial 16S ribosomal RNA". It matches the Rfam family "Bacterial small subunit ribosomal RNA", at positions 28 to 507 of the family's 1533-position model. The record is from RNAcentral.
GACGAACGCUGGCGGCGUGCCUAAUACAUGCCAGUAGAACGCUGAAGAGAGGAGCUUGCUCUUCUUGGAUGAGUUGCGAACGGGUGAGUAACGCGUAGGUAACCUGCCUGGUAGCGGGGGAUAACUAUUGGAAACGAUAGCUAAUACCGCAUAAAAUGGAUUAUCGCAUGAUAAUCCAUUGAAAGGUGCAAAUGCAUCACUACCAGAUGGACCUGCGUUGUAUUAGCUAGUUGGUGGGGUAACGGCUCACCAAGGCGACGAUACAUAGCCGACCUGAGAGGGUGAUCGGCCACACUGGGACUGAGACACGGCCCAGACUCCUACGGGAGGCAGCAGUAGGGAAUCUUCGGCAAUGGACGGAAGUCUGACCGAGCAACGCCGCGUGAGUGAAGAAGGUUUUCGGAUCGUAAAGCUCUGUUGUAAGAGAAGAACGAGUGUGAGAGUGGAAAGUUCACACUGUGUCGGUAUCUUACCAGAAAGGGACGGCUAACUACGUG